CGGCGGCUCCUUCCUUACGGUUAGGUCACCGACUUCAGGNGCUUCCAACUCCCAUGGUGUGACGGGCGGUGUGUACAAGGCCCGGGAACGUAUUCACCGCGACAUUCUGAUUCGCGAUUACUAGCGAUUCCAGCUUCAUGUAGUCGAGUUGCAGACUACAAUCCGAACUGGGACUGGGUUUUUGUGAUUUGCUCGACGUCGCCGNUUUGCAUCACUUUGUUACCAGCCAUUGUAGCACGUGUGUAGCCCAAGACAUAAGGGGCAUGAUGAUUUGACGUCAUCCCCACCUUCCUCCGUGUUAUCCACGGCAGUCUCCUUAGAGUGCCCAACUGAAUGAUGGCUACUAAGAAUAGGGGUUGCGCUCGUUGCGGGACUUAACCCAACAUCUCACGACACGAGCUGACGACAACCAUGCACCACCUGUCACCUUUGCUCCGAAGAGAGUGUAUCUCUACACCGGUCAGAGNGAUGUCAAGCCUUGUAGGUCUUNNNGUUGCUUCGAAUUAAACCACAUGCUCACG
RNAcentral lists this ribosomal RNA (521 nucleotides) under uncultured bacterium. Its description in RNAcentral is "partial 16S ribosomal RNA". The record is from RNAcentral.